Suricata suricatta (meerkat) is the source of this 719-nucleotide long non-coding RNA. RefSeq lists it as uncharacterized. The record is from RefSeq and is a predicted model, not a curated record. The transcript has 3 exons. NCBI's taxonomy places the organism in Eukaryota, Metazoa, Chordata, Mammalia, Carnivora, Herpestidae.
CGCGCGCGGCCCCGCCCGGCAACGAACUACAGGUCCCGGCGGCCCUCGCGUCGGAGGGCGGGCCCGCUAACCGCCCGGAGCCGCUGGAGGCCGCGCACACGCUUCCGCACUCGGAGUCUGGCGGCCAGAGCCCCUGCUUCGCCCGGCCGCUCAGGGCCCAGCACUCGGACAGGUGGCCCGCGCUGUGGCCCACAGGGCCGCCCCAGCCCCCGCAAUCCUCCUGUGUACAGGGAGCCGGGAGGAAGGAGCGGGCUCCGGCUCUGUUCUCUUAUAUAAAAAAGCACCAGUGUCCUGGACUGGACACCCACUGCUGCAGGACAUGCAGGGGGGCCCAGGGCCUGAUCGUCACCGACUGAUAUCCCGACUGGAGUCCCACAACUUGGUGUUGGGCGGCUCAGCCCGAAGGCGGGCGAAGAAAGGGUGCUGCAGGGCCUCCCCCAAGGUCAACCGCUUAGCAGGUUCAUACUCUAGCAUGCUUUCAAUCAGAUCGAAGAGCUGGUGGUGGUCCUCGGCCUCUGAGGGCCCUAACUUUCCAGCUCGGAGGAGCAGGCCUCUGCCCUCAGAGGACGAUUUUGAGCACCCCCGGCCCCGAAGCACACAGUGCCCAGCACGCACUACUCAGUCACCCGCUUCACGCUCAGAAAGCUCUGCGUGCGUGCCCUUGUCAACUUCAUGAACCUUCUGUAGCUCCUCACUAAAACGUAAGCUCUUCUCCAGUU